CAGGAAGCACUGAGAGCGUGGUGUGCUCUGAUGAACAUCAGAGGUGCCACACUGAGGACAGGUCCAAGCCCAGAGCUUCCAAACCGGUGGGAAAUGUCUCAGGGCUCAGACUGGGAUUGGUGCCAAUGGAAAAAAGCCAGCCCUGGGAGAGGAGGGUGCCAGCAGGACAGGGGGUGUUUUUAGGGCACAGGAGGCACCUCCAAAGUGUCACCCCUCACCCAGAGACAAGUCUUUAAAAAAAAAAUUACUGGAAUAAAAAGGAAAGCACCAAGUAAUUGAAAAGAGCUGCUAGAAACAGAAAGGAAGGAAAGUUAUAAUGAUUGAAAAGUUCAAUAAAAUCGGAGGAAAGCAGGAAAAAAUUCCAAUUUUUAAUGGAAUGGAUGGUGAGGUGUCACUGGUACAUGGCAGCAGAUCCCUGGAAGCUAAACCUUUUCAUCUGGAGCUUUCAAAGCCUAACCAAGAAAAUGUUGAAACCAAUAAAACUGUUUGUGGGGGGAAAAGUUUUCUGAAGAAAGCAAGCGCAAAUGAUGUUUUACCAAAAGCUCCAGGCAGAAAAUGGGAGGCUGGAGUUGAAAAGCUCUUGCAGAUGAAUCUCGAACGAUCUAUUCUCACCAUCAUAAUGAGCACAUACAUGAUUAAUGAAAAUAUUUAUCCUCAUAACCCACUGCAGCGAGUUAAUAUUUAAUCCAAAGUCCACGCGAAAGCCCAACCUCUGCGGCUCCUCACCUAGCUUCUUGUUUCCUUGGAAAUCUCUGAACUCUGCCAGCUGACCUGAGAUUUGGCUCUCUGGGGCUGGCUUUUCCUGGCUUUCUGCAUAAGUCCCACACCUUUUGAUCCCGAAAGCGCCGCCACUUGGGACCUACAAGGUUUCUCAGAUAAUCCCGUGGAGCCGCUGCUUUGUGACGCGCCUCACUUUGAUAUUCAAGGCAAAGCCGGACAGCCCACACAUGAAAAGACAUCCUUCCCUUUCUUCCCAGGCUUAAUUUCAUCUGCAAAUUAAACAUAUCGAGACAGAUAUUUAUAGAGGAAUGCCCUGAUCCUCCUGGGAGGGCUGCGCAGUCUGCGAUGUGUAAUUUUGCUUUAGGAAUAUGAUUUUAAUCUUGACUUUUUUCUGAGGCUGGUGGCAGGAGAGGAGAAGGGCAGGUGGGAGUCUCCUCUGUUCCCCCACAGUUUGAGCCCUGGGCUGAUGCAGUGGCUGGAUGCACACAGAGGGGUCCAGGCUCUGUCCUUGUCCUCUGCAAAGCUGUUUCAAGACAUGGGCCUUUAAAAGGUGACAGUUUUUACUUCUGAAAGAACUGUGCCUGUAAACUUUGCCAGCAGGAGCUUUCAGCUGUGACUUACAAAAAAAACCCAACCCAAACCAAAGCAAGCUGCUUUAAAAAUGGUGCACAGCUUGAAAUAACUGCUCAGCCCUGAUGAGCCCAAGCUCUCACAGAGUCACCCAUCCCCCUGUACCCCUCUCCUCCAUUCCACCUUUUCACUGUGGGCAACCCCCCGCACUAAAAAAAAAACCCACAAAAAAAGGGGAAGUUUUGGCUUACGUCAUUUAUAGAUAUGCCCAAGAGCAGAGGAUAAAGAACUUCUAUUUUGUUUUCCAGUUAAAUAUUUUCACUUUAUCUUCUUGUUAAGGAGAAAUUCAGUGUUAGUCUUUUACCCAGCAUCACUCAUUUAAGCAUCCUCCUGAUGGGAAGAGUUCAGGGGAGGGAAACUGGCAGGAAAAAUGGUUUCAGUAGUAAUAAUAAGGGAGACUUCGGAAUUUUUUUUUAAUUUUUGCAUUUCUGCAUGCUAUGAAGUAUGUCUUUAAGCUUCAGUAAACUUUUGGAAUCCCUGGGAAGCUGGUAAUGUGCCUUUGAAGGAAGUAUGACUUAUGAAAUUGCAGUUUUUAGCUUAGCUGGGUAAUGUUAAUGAGGAAAUAUCAUGGGCUGCGGGUGGAAGUCUCCUGAAUCCCAUAAGUUAGGAAUAAAUUAUUCUGUUUUCCUAAAUGAAUCA
RNAcentral lists this long non-coding RNA (1989 nucleotides) under Cyanistes caeruleus (blue tit). RNAcentral's name for it is "lncRNA (ENSCCEG00000011062.1)". The record is from RNAcentral. Lineage: Eukaryota; Metazoa; Chordata; Aves; Passeriformes; Paridae.